This 2675-nucleotide long non-coding RNA is filed under the name Homo sapiens (human). RNAcentral's name for it is "NR2F1 regulatory antisense RNA 1". Lineage: Eukaryota; Metazoa; Chordata; Mammalia; Primates; Hominidae. The record is from RNAcentral.
GGACGGGAGCCGCUCCCGGGCGGCACACAGCCGAGUCCCUCCUCCCCUCCCCGCAGGCAGCCUGUGCCUUUUCUCCAAACGAAGACAGCACUUUGAAAAUUCUUUCAAUGGAUUUUUUUUUCCUUGAAAGAUCGUACUGGGGGAAAAUGAUACUUCUAUUAGUUACAUAUUCUCCAAUCGCAUACUCGCACCCCCCUCGUUUUGAGAUCGCUCCCCUAGGCAGGCUCAGGCGGGCGCGGAGCCGCGCGGAGUGACAAAGCCGCCGCUGCCGCCGCCGGGGGUGGGAGCCGCGCUCGCCCGCCCGCCCCUCGACUCGCGAGGGCGUAAAAGUUUGUCUCAGCUCGAGCAUUCCUAGCGCCAACACGCCCUCAGGUAAAGGUGGAAGUAAAUGGCCACGCUGUAUUGACAGAGCAGGUAGAUGAAACUCAAGAGAAAAGGUGUGGAUAAAUGAAACUAGCCCAUGAUGAACCUGUUUUCUCCGUGACCACAAUAUUAACCAGGAUGAAUGGCGGUGGCAGUGGGCCUGCAUCACAGGUUGCAGCAGAUGUUCUCAAUAUUUCUAUUAAAAUUUCCUUAUUUCCAUAUGCAAGAGGAGCCCCAGAGCUGCAUCCUUAUGGUAGCUACCAUGCCGUGAUGUAAGCUGCCAUUCACUGGGGAGCUUUGGCAAUAGAAUUGGCUAGAUCAGGAAGCCUAUGUCAACUAUGGAACAACAACUUGCAGCUCAUCUCUAUUGAUGAUGGAAUCUCGCUAUGUCACCAGGCUGGAGUGCAGUGGCGCAACCUCGGCUCAGCGCAACAUCCGCCUCCCGGGUUCAAGUGAUUCUCCUACCUCAGCCUCCUGAGUAGCUGGGAUUACAGGUGAAACAGUCGCAAAUGGAAUUCCAAGAAACAUUCUAUCAUCAGGUAUUAUCUACUGCUGUCUGCAGAAUUCAGACAUGGAGGGCUCAAUGGUGUCCCCUGGUCUUUGGAACAUUCUGUAUUUUAAUGAUCAUGAUACACUGCCUCUAGGACUGGGACAGAUAGCCACUGAGUACCUGCUUCAAAUCACCCUGCACGUUUUCUCUUUGGAAAGAUAAGCACUGGAGAACCAUCUCGUUACCUUCAGCAGAAAUGGAAACAAAUCAAGACAUUAAGAAUGCCGCAGUGGACAGCAGUUAUGCAAGGUUCAGCAGAGGAAGUUUUCAAGAUGGUGUGCCUCACUAGCCAGAAAUCAGAAAAGAUCGAAGCUAGCCUUUUCAUCUCAGCUGCUCCUUAAAUCAGUGCAACCCCUCCAAAUUAAUGUGAAUUGAAACUUGCAUUGCUUUUCAACUUAAUUGAAUACUUACUAUAUGUGAACCACUGCACAAAAUAGGGGAAGAAGAUGUGGGAGACAAAGAUGUGGAGCCUGUCUUCAAUAAAUUUACAGUUAGUUUCAGGGUACAUUGUUUUUCUUCUGCUGUUAAUUAGGUGUAUCCCCAAGACAAUAAAUACAUGAAUGGAAAAGUAUAUUCUGUGUUUUAAGUCUCUUUAAUAAAAAACAAAACAAAAUCCAAAAAAACUCCUAACAUGGCAACUCAGGACAUUUUAAUCCUUUUUUUUGUUGUUGGGCUUCUGAUAGGAUCCAUUUUAUUGAUUCCAUAAAUAUUUAGUAGACUUUAGACAUAUUAAUACAUUGUAGUUUGAGUUAAUUUGCAUUAAAUUCUGUUUUUUUCCCCUUAGGUAUAGAUUGUCUGUUGGAAAAAUAUAUUGCUUGUGGAUUUCUUGGGGAGUGGGAAGGUGAAUUAUACCUGUUGUCUCUACAGUCCACUACCUUCCACACCCUAGGGCAGUGGUCCCCAACCUUCUUGGCACCAGGGAUCAGUUUCCUGGAAGACAAUUUUUCUGUGGAUGGUGUGGGGAUGGUUUUGGGAUGGAACUGUUCCACCUCAGAUCAUCAGGCAUUAGUUAGGCUCUCAUAACGAGUGCGCAGCCUAGAUCCCUCACAUGCACAGUUCACAGUAGGGUUUGCGCUGCUAUGAGAAUCUAAGGCUGCCACUGAUCUGACAGGAGGCAGAACUCAGGUGGCAAUGCUUACUGGCCCACUGCUCACCUCUUGCUGUGCGGCCUGGUUCCUAAUAGGCCAUGGACCCCCACAGACGGGUACUAGUCUGCAGCCUGUGGACCCCAGCCCUAGGGGCCUGCCAUUCUGAGUGAGUUAUUAGCAUGAAGAAGAGGAAGAUCUGGAUCAAACGUGGGUGAUGGUACUCAGAGACCCAAGAUAGGAUAGGGAUGGAACAAAAUCCAUCUGGGCAACGGCUCUAUGAAAAUUUGGCUAAGUAAUUAUUUCAGUAUUCAUUGUAUUCAUUGUCCUUCGUGUUCCAUAAGUUAAAUGACUGUCUAAUUUUUCCAAAAAUUUAUUUCUGACUUGAGAAUAAGUGUGUCAUGAUUUUCCCAGUGUAAAGACACUGAUAUAACUGUAGAUACCAGACAUUUUAUGUAGUGUCUAUGACACAUUUUAGUAUGUAUGAGCCAACAAUAGACAUGUCUUUGUCUUGAGGAGUGUCCAUCUGAAUUGAAAAUGUGUCAGCUUUUUUUUAACAUCAUCAACAGACUUCUUAAUUAAGCUGCCAAUACAUACUGCCAAUAGCACUGUGUGCUGUCUGAGAAAUGCAUUGUGUAAGUGCUAUUUCCAUCUUAUUAAAUAAACAAUGUUGCUCU